GCUUGCACUGAUUUUAACAAUGAAGCGAGUGGCGAACUGGUGAGUAACACGUGGGAAAUCUGCCCAGAAGCAGGGGAUAACACUUGGAAACAGGUGCUAAUACCGCUAUAACAACAAAAUCCGCAUGGAUUUUGUUUGAAAGGUGGCUUCGGCUAUCACUUCUGGAUGAUCCCGCGGCGUAUUAGUUAGUUGGUGAGGUAAAGGCCCACCAAGACGAUGAUACGUAGCCGACCUGAGAGGGUAAUCGGCCACAUUGGGACUGAGACACGGCCCAAACUCCUACGGGAGGCAGCAGUAGGGAAUCUUCCACAAUGGACGAAAGUCUGAUGGAGCAAUGCCGCGUGAGUGAAGAAGGGUUUCGGCUCGUAAAACUCUGUUGUUAAAGAAGAACACCUUUGAGAGUAACUGUUCAAGGGUUGACGGUAUUUAACCAGAAAGCCACGGCUAACUACGUGCCAGCAGCCGCGGUAAUACGUAGGUGGCAAGCGUUGUCCGGAUUUAUUGGGCGUAAAGCGAGCGCAGGCGGUUUUUUAAGUCUGAUGUGAAAGCCUUCGGCUUAACCGGAGAAGUGCAUCGGAAACUGGGAGACUUGAGUGCAGAAGAGGACAGUGGAAC
Molecule: ribosomal RNA, 615 nt
Filed under: Levilactobacillus brevis
Lineage: Bacteria; Bacillati; Bacillota; Bacilli; Lactobacillales; Lactobacillaceae
Description: bacterial SSU rRNA
Rfam family: Bacterial small subunit ribosomal RNA
Source: RNAcentral